This 449-nucleotide ribosomal RNA is filed under the name uncultured bacterium. RNAcentral's name for it is "bacterial SSU rRNA". It matches the Rfam family "Bacterial small subunit ribosomal RNA", at positions 355 to 825 of the family's 1533-position model. The record is from RNAcentral.
UCGAGAAUAUUCGACAAUGGGCGAAAGCCUGAUCGAGCGACGCCGCGUGCAGGAUGAAGGCCCUCGGGUUGUAAACUGCGGUAGUAGGGGAGGAACGCAAGUGACUGUACCCUACGGAAAGUGGUUGGUAACUACGUGCCAGCACCAGCGGUAAUACGUAGACCACAAGCGUUAUCCGGAUUUAUUGGGCGUAAAGAGCAUGUAGGAGGUCCGGUGCGUCUCUGGUUAAAGCCACCGCCUAACGGUGGAAGUGCCAGAGAUACGAUCGGACUGGAGGAUGUGAGAGGUGCAUGGAACUCACGGUGUAGGGGUGAAAUCCGUUGAUAUCGUGGGGAACACCAAAGGCGAAGGCAGUGCACUGGUACAUUCCUGACUCUGAGAUGCGAAAGCGUGGGGAGCAAAAAGGAUUAGAUACCCAGGUAGUCCCUGAGCGGGCUGGCAAGGCGCAU